CAGCCGCCGCGGUAAUACGGAGGGAGCUAGCGUUGUUCGGAAUUACUGGGCGUAAAGCGCACGUAGGCGGUUAUUCAAGUCAGAGGUGAAAGCCCGGGGCUCAACCCCGGAACUGCCUUUGAAACUAGAUGACUAGAAUCUUGGAGAAGUCAGUGGAAUUCCGAGUGUAGAGGUGAAAUUCGUAGAUAUUCGGAAGAACACCAGUGGCGAAGGCGACUGACUGGACAAGUAUUGACGCUGAGGUGCGAAAGCGUGGGGAGCAAACAGGAUUAGAUACCCGCGUAGUCCCUGUCUCUUAUAC
This 301-nucleotide ribosomal RNA is filed under the name uncultured bacterium. Its description in RNAcentral is "partial 16S ribosomal RNA". It matches the Rfam family "Bacterial small subunit ribosomal RNA", at positions 509 to 807 of the family's 1533-position model. The record is from RNAcentral.